RNAcentral lists this ribosomal RNA (590 nucleotides) under Brevibacterium salitolerans. RNAcentral's name for it is "bacterial SSU rRNA". It matches the Rfam family "Bacterial small subunit ribosomal RNA", at positions 330 to 921 of the family's 1533-position model. Lineage: Bacteria; Bacillati; Actinomycetota; Actinomycetes; Micrococcales; Brevibacteriaceae. The record is from RNAcentral.
CCCAGACUCCUACGGGAGGCAGCAGUGGGGAAUAUUGCACAAUGGGGGAAACCCUGAUGCAGCGACGCCGCGUGAGGGAUGACGGCCUUCGGGUUGUAAACCUCUUUCAGCAGGGAAGAAGCCCUCUUUUGGGGGUGACGGUACCUGCAGAAGAAGUACCGGCUAACUACGUGCCAGCAGCCGCGGUAAUACGUAGGGUACAAGCGUUGUCCGGAAUUAUUGGGCGUAAAGAGCUCGUAGGCGGUUCGUCGCGUCUGCUGUGGAAACGCAAGGCUCAACCUUGCGCGUGCAGCGGGUACGGGCGUAACUAGAGUGCAGUAGGGGAGUCUGGAAUUCCUGGUGUAGCGGUGAAAUGCCCAGAUAUCAGGAGGAACACCGGUGGCGAAGGCGGGACUCUGGGCUGUUACUGACGCUGAAGAGCGAAAGCAUGGGGAGCGAACAGGAUUAGAUACCCUGGUAGUCCAUGCCGUAAACGUUGGGCACUAGGUGUGGGACUCAUUCCACGAGUUCCGUGCCGCAGCUAACGCAUUAAGUGCCCCGCCUGGGGAGUACGGCCGCAAGGCUAAAACUCAAAGGAAUUGACGGGGGCC